UACGGGGGGGGCAAGCGUUGUUCGGAUUCAUUGGGCGUAAAGGGUGCGUAGGCGGCGAAGCAAGUCAGGUGUGAAAUCCCGGGGCUCAACCCCGGAACUGCACUUGAUACUGCUUUGCUUGAGGACUGGAGAGGAGAUCGGAAUUCACGGUGUAGCAGUGAAAUGCGUAGAUAUCGUGAGGAAGGCCAGUGGCGAAGGCGGAUCUCUGGACAGUUCCUGACGCUGAGGCACGAAGGCCAGGGGAGCAAACGGG
RNAcentral lists this ribosomal RNA (253 nucleotides) under uncultured bacterium. Its description in RNAcentral is "partial 16S ribosomal RNA". It matches the Rfam family "Bacterial small subunit ribosomal RNA", at positions 524 to 776 of the family's 1533-position model. The record is from RNAcentral.